RNAcentral lists this ribosomal RNA (440 nucleotides) under uncultured bacterium. RNAcentral's name for it is "partial 16S ribosomal RNA". It matches the Rfam family "Bacterial small subunit ribosomal RNA", at positions 338 to 795 of the family's 1533-position model. The record is from RNAcentral.
CCUACGGGGGGCAGCAGUGGGGGAUAUUGCACAAUGGGGGAAACCCUGAUGCAGCGACGCCGCGUGGGUGAAGAAGCGCCUCGGCGCGUAAAGCCCUGUCAGCAGGGAAGAAAAUGACGGUACCUGAAGAAGAAGCCCCGGCUAACUACGUGCCAGCAGCCGCGGUAAUACGUAGGGGGCAAGCGUUAUCCGGAUUUACUGGGUGUAAAGGGGGCGCAGACGGCGAUGCAAGCCAGGCGUGAAAGCCCGGGGCCCAACCCCGGGACUGCUGUUGGAACUGCGUGGCUAGAGUGCAGGAGGGGCAGGCGGAAUUCCUGGUGUAGCGGUGAAAUGCGUAGAUAUCAGGAGGAACACCGGUGGCGAAGGCGGCCUGCUGGACUGCAACUGACGUUGAGGCCCGAAGGCGUGGGGAGCAAACAGGAUUAGAUACCCUUGUAGUC